RNAcentral lists this transfer RNA (85 nucleotides) under Pseudomonas citronellolis. RNAcentral's name for it is "tRNA-Gly". It matches the Rfam family "tRNA". From Rfam's summary of the family: Transfer RNA (tRNA) molecules are approximately 80 nucleotides in length. Their secondary structure includes four short double-helical elements and three loops (D, anti-codon, and T loops). RNAcentral also lists the same sequence under 4 other names. The record is from RNAcentral. Lineage: Bacteria; Pseudomonadati; Pseudomonadota; Gammaproteobacteria; Pseudomonadales; Pseudomonadaceae.
GGAAGUGUGGCCGAGUGGUUUAAGGCAGCGGUCUUGAAAACCGCCGGGUGUAACAGCCCCCAGAGUUCGAAUCUCUGCGCUUCCG